Molecule: unclassified non-coding RNA, 414 nt
Filed under: uncultured Glomeromycotina
Lineage: Eukaryota; Fungi; Glomeromycota
Description: sequence contains 28S rRNA gene
Source: RNAcentral
AGAGUUAAACAGUACGUGAAAUUGUUGAAAGGGAAACGAUUGAAGUCAGUCAUACCAACGGGAAAUCAACCUCUUGAGUUUGGUCUUGUGGGUUUCGAAGAGUUUAAAAGCCUUCGGAUUUGCGAGGAUUGGGCUCUUUUGGUGUACUUUCUCGUACGGUUAGUCAACAUCGGUUUUGAAUGUCAUAAAAUGACUGGAGGAAUGUGGCUUCGAUCUCGUAUUGAAGUGUUAUAGCCUUUGGUAGAUGUGAUGUUCGAGACCGAGGAUUGCAAUGGAUACCCUUCUGGGCUAUUCGUCUGAUCUCUGAUACGUUGCCUUGAUGUCGAAAGCUCGCUUAUGAUGUUAGGGUAUUACGGUCAAAAGGUUAGAACGGAUUAAAUUCGUUAAGGAUGUUGACGUAAUGACUUUAAACGA